GACGAACGCUGGCGGCGUGCCUAAUACAUGCAAGUCGAACGACAGCGCCCGGUGCUUGUGCUGUUCCAUCUAGUGGCGAACGGGCGAGUAACACGUGGGUAACCUUCUCAUCAGAGGGGGAUAACAUCGGGAAACGGAUGCUAAAACCACAUCAGACUUCGAACCGCAUGGUUUGAAGAGGAAACGAGGCUCACGCUUCUGCUGAUGGAGGUACCCGCGGUGCAUUAGCUAGUUGGUGAGGUAACGGCUCACCAAGGCCGUGAUGCAUAGCCGACCUGAGAGGGUGAUCGGCCACAUUGGGACUGAGACACGGCCCAAACUCCUACGGGAGGCAGCAGUAGGGAAUCUUCCGCAAUGGACGCAAGUCUGACGGAGCAACGCCGCGUGAGUGAAGAAGGUUUUCGGAUCGUAAAACUCUGUUGUUAGAGAAGAACAAGUGCUAGAGUAACUGUUAGCGCCUUGACGGUAUCUAAACAGAAAGCCACGGCUAACUACGUG
Molecule: ribosomal RNA, 498 nt
Filed under: uncultured bacterium
Lineage: Bacteria
Description: partial 16S ribosomal RNA
Rfam family: Bacterial small subunit ribosomal RNA
Source: RNAcentral